RNAcentral lists this ribosomal RNA (2891 nucleotides) under Klebsiella pneumoniae. RNAcentral describes it as "bacterial LSU rRNA". It matches the Rfam family "Bacterial large subunit ribosomal RNA". Lineage: Bacteria; Pseudomonadati; Pseudomonadota; Gammaproteobacteria; Enterobacterales; Enterobacteriaceae. The record is from RNAcentral.
ACUAAGCGUACACGGUGGAUGCCCUGGCAGUCAGAGGCGAUGAAGGACGUGCUAAUCUGCGAAAAGCGUCGGUAAGGUGAUAUGAACCGUUAUAGCCGGCGAUGUCCGAAUGGGGAAACCCAGUGUGAUUCGUCACACUAUCGUUAACUGAAUACAUAGGUUAACGAGGCGAACCGGGGGAACUGAAACAUCUAAGUACCCCGAGGAAAAGAAAUCAACCGAGAUUCCCCCAGUAGCGGCGAGCGAACGGGGAGCAGCCCAGAGUCUGAAUCAGCUUGUGUGUUAGUGGAACGGUCUGGAAAGUCCGACGGUACAGGGUGAUAGUCCCGUACACCAAAAUGCACAGGCUGUGAACUCGAAGAGUAGGGCGGGACACGUGGUAUCCUGUCUGAAUAUGGGGGGACCAUCCUCCAAGGCUAAAUACUCCUGACUGACCGAUAGUGAACCAGUACCGUGAGGGAAAGGCGAAAAGAACCCCGGCGAGGGGAGUGAAAAAGAACCUGAAACCGUGUACGUACAAGCAGUGGGAGCACCUUCGGGUGUGACUGCGUACCUUUUGUAUAAUGGGUCAGCGACUUAUAUUCUGUAGCAAGGUUAACCGUAUAGGGGAGCCGCAGGGAAACCGAGUCUUAACUGGGCGUUAAGUUGCAGGGUAUAGACCCGAAACCCGGUGAUCUAGCCAUGGGCAGGUUGAAGGUUGGGUAACACUAACUGGAGGACCGAACCGACUAAUGUUGAAAAAUUAGCGGAUGACUUGUGGCUGGGGGUGAAAGGCCAAUCAAACCGGGAGAUAGCUGGUUCUCCCCGAAAGCUAUUUAGGUAGCGCCUCGUGAACUCAUCUUCGGGGGUAGAGCACUGUUUCGGCUAGGGGGUCAUCCCGACUUACCAACCCGAUGCAAACUACGAAUACCGAAGAAUGUUAUCACGGGAGACACACGGCGGGUGCUAACGUCCGUCGUGAAGAGGGAAACAACCCAGACCGCCAGCUAAGGUCCCAAAGUCAUGGUUAAGUGGGAAACGAUGUGGGAAGGCACAGACAGCCAGGAUGUUGGCUUAGAAGCAGCCAUCAUUUAAAGAAAGCGUAAUAGCUCACUGGUCGAGUCGGCCUGCGCGGAAGAUGUAACGGGGCUAAACCAUGCACCGAAGCUGCGGCAGCGACACUAUGUGUUGUUGGGUAGGGGAGCGUUCUGUAAGCCUGCGAAGGUGACCUGUGAGGGUUGCUGGAGGUAUCAGAAGUGCGAAUGCUGACAUAAGUAACGAUAAAGCGGGUGAAAAGCCCGCUCGCCGGAAGACCAAGGGUUCCUGUCCAACGUUAAUCGGGGCAGGGUGAGUCGACCCCUAAGGCGAGGCCGAAAGGCGUAGUCGAUGGGAAACAGGUUAAUAUUCCUGUACUUGGUGUUACUGCGAAGGGGGGACGGAGAAGGCUAUGUUAGCCGGGCGACGGUUGUCCCGGUUUAAGCAUGUAGGCUGGUUGUCCAGGCAAAUCCGGAUAAUCAAGGCUGAGGUGUGAUGACGAGGCACUACGGUGCUGAAGUAACAAAUGCCCUGCUUCCAGGAAAAGCCUCUAAGCAUCAGGUAACAUCAAAUCGUACCCCAAACCGACACAGGUGGUCAGGUAGAGAAUACCAAGGCGCUUGAGAGAACUCGGGUGAAGGAACUAGGCAAAAUGGUGCCGUAACUUCGGGAGAAGGCACGCUGGUGUGUAGGUGAAGUCCCUGCGGAUGGAGCUGAGACCAGUCGAAGAUACCAGCUGGCUGCAACUGUUUAUUAAAAACACAGCACUGUGCAAACACGAAAGUGGACGUAUACGGUGUGACGCCUGCCCGGUGCCGGAAGGUUAAUUGAUGGGGUUAUCCGUAAGGAGAAGCUCUUGAUCGAAGCCCCGGUAAACGGCGGCCGUAACUAUAACGGUCCUAAGGUAGCGAAAUUCCUUGUCGGGUAAGUUCCGACCUGCACGAAUGGCGUAAUGAUGGCCAGGCUGUCUCCACCCGAGACUCAGUGAAAUUGAACUCGCUGUGAAGAUGCAGUGUACCCGCGGCAAGACGGAAAGACCCCGUGAACCUUUACUAUAGCUUGACACUGAACAUUGAGCCUUGAUGUGUAGGAUAGGUGGGAGGCUUUGAAGCGUGGACGCCAGUCUGCGUGGAGCCAACCUUGAAAUACCACCCUUUAAUGUUUGAUGUUCUAACGUUGGCCCCUUACCGGGGUUGCGGACAGUGUCUGGUGGGUAGUUUGACUGGGGCGGUCUCCUCCCAAAGCGUAACGGAGGAGCACGAAGGUUAGCUAAUCCUGGUCGGACAUCAGGAGGUUAGUGCAAUGGCAUAAGCUAGCUUGACUGCGAGCGUGACGGCGCGAGCAGGUGCGAAAGCAGGUCAUAGUGAUCCGGUGGUUCUGAAUGGAAGGGCCAUCGCUCAACGGAUAAAAGGUACUCCGGGGAUAACAGGCUGAUACCGCCCAAGAGUUCAUAUCGACGGCGGUGUUUGGCACCUCGAUGUCGGCUCAUCACAUCCUGGGGCUGAAGUAGGUCCCAAGGGUAUGGCUGUUCGCCAUUUAAAGUGGUACGCGAGCUGGGUUUAGAACGUCGUGAGACAGUUCGGUCCCUAUCUGCCGUGGGCGCUGGAGAAUUGAGGGGGGCUGCUCCUAGUACGAGAGGACCGGAGUGGACGCAUCACUGGUGUUCGGGUUGUCAUGCCAAUGGCACUGCCCGGUAGCUAAAUGCGGAAGAGAUAAGUGCUGAAAGCAUCUAAGCACGAAACUUGCCCCGAGAUGAGUUCUCCCUGAGACUUUAAGUCUCCUGAAGGAACGUUAAAGACGAUGACGUUGAUAGGCCGGGUGUGUAAGCGCAGCGAUGCGUUGAGCUAACCGGUACUAAUGAACCGUGAGGCUUAACC